RNAcentral lists this ribosomal RNA (445 nucleotides) under uncultured Victivallaceae bacterium. RNAcentral's name for it is "bacterial SSU rRNA". It matches the Rfam family "Bacterial small subunit ribosomal RNA", at positions 335 to 796 of the family's 1533-position model. Lineage: Bacteria; Pseudomonadati; Lentisphaerota; Lentisphaeria; Victivallales; Victivallaceae. The record is from RNAcentral.
UGCCUACGGGGGGCUGCAGUCGAGAAUCUUCCGCAAUGGGCGAAAGCCUGACGGAGCAAUGCCGCGUGAAGGAUGAAGGUCUUCGGAUUGUAAACUUCUGUCACUGGGGACGAAUAAAUGACGGUACCCGGAGAGGAAGUCACGGCUAACUACGUGCCAGCAGCCGCGGUAAUACGUAGGUGACUAGCGUUGUUCGGAUUUAUUGGGCGUAAAGGGUCCGCAGGGGGCCGGCUAAGUCUGAUGGGAAAUACCAAGGCUCAACCUUGGAACUGCAUUGGAAACUGGUUGGCUAGAGUAUCGGAGAGGAGAUUGGAAUUCCUGGUGUAGCGGUGGAAUGCGUAGAUAUCAGGAGGAACACCAAAGGCGAAGGCAGAUCUCUGGACGAUUACUGACCCUCAGGGACGAAAGCAUGGGGAUCAAACAGGAUUAGAUACCCUGGUAGUCG